UAACGAAUAUUCCGCAAUGGGCGAAAGCCUGACGGAGCGACGCCGCGUGUGGGAGGAAGCCCUUCGGGGUGUAAACCACUGUCAGGGAUUACCAAGCAAAGUUGGCGAAUAGCCUUCUGCGUUGAGGCGUCCCAGAGGAAGCCACGGCUAACUUCGUGCCAGCAGCCGCGGUAAUACGAAGGUGGCGAGCGUUGUUCGGAAUCACUGGGCUUAAAGGGCACGCAGGCGGACUGUCAAGCGUCUUGUGAAAGCCCCCGGCUUAACCGGGGAAUUGCUGGGCGAACUGGCAGUCUUGAGGCAGGUAAGGGCGAGUGGAACUCUUGGUGGAGCGGUGGAAUGCGUAGAUAUCAAGAGGAACGCCGGAGGCGAAAGCGACUCGCUGGGCCUGACCUGACGCUGAGGUGCGAAAGCCAGGGGAGCGAACG
RNAcentral lists this ribosomal RNA (425 nucleotides) under uncultured bacterium. RNAcentral describes it as "bacterial SSU rRNA". It matches the Rfam family "Bacterial small subunit ribosomal RNA", at positions 355 to 774 of the family's 1533-position model. The record is from RNAcentral.